Long non-coding RNA from Papaver somniferum (opium poppy), 2578 nucleotides. RefSeq lists it as uncharacterized. The record is from RefSeq and is a predicted model, not a curated record. Lineage: Eukaryota; Viridiplantae; Streptophyta; Magnoliopsida; Ranunculales; Papaveraceae. The transcript is spliced from 4 exons.
CAUCUUCGAAUCCUCUUCACACCACGACCACCACCAUCACUUUCUCUGUAUCUCUUUCCCGCAUCAGACAUGCAACCACCAUCACAACCAAAGUAUCCUUCCCUGUCUCUUUCUUCCGAUAGCUAAUUUAUUGAUGAACUAAAAUAUGUAUCCGGAUCUUUCAAUCUUUAAUCCUUUUCUUCUUUAGAAUCGCCAUACUCACCGUAAUCACCACAAACAAAACAACAACAAUUUGGGUUUUGGUUUAGUGAAAUUUGGGUUUCGGUUUAGUGAUAUUGGGGUUGAUUUGAUUUGAAAAAUUGGGGGUUUGAUUUGAUUUGAAAAAUUAGGGUUUAAUUUGAUUCUGAAAUUAGGGUUUCCAUCUAGUGAAAUUGGGAGCUUAUUUGAUUCAGAAAUUGGGUUUCCAUAUAGCGAAAUUGGGGGUUUGAUUUAAUCGGUAAAUUUGGGUUUUUUUUUAUUCAGAAAUUCAAGUUUUGUUUGAUUCACUAGGGUGUUUGUUGUUAAGGAUUAUUCGAGUAAUCAGAUUCCCUGUUAGCUUUGUUCAAGAAGAAGAAGGGGAAGCCUAUAUCUAGAAAUUCAAUGCUUGCUUGCUUACUUCUCUGAUUGUCAAGAAAUGGGUUAGUAUUGUGAAUGGAAUUUGAGCACGAACAAGGAAGAAAGUUGAGCUGCUGCUGAAGAUGGGAGCUAUUCCGAUAACUUUUAAAGAUCAAAGUGAAGAGAUGUGUGAGGCUGUCUAGUCUAGUUUUACAAUAAUGGGCUUGUUUAGAUUGAUUGUCUUGCAGAGAAGUAGAUUUGGAAAGCUUAAAGAUCGUACAUCUGCAUCUCCACCGUCAAAACCUCAUGCAUCAAGUGUUUCUGAAGACCAGUUUUACAUUUUCUCCGGUUCAUGUAUAUAAGAGAGAAGAAAAUGGAGAAUCAAAUUUUGAAUUCCCUUGUAUGCAAGCCCAAUACUUUCCACACCAAGGAAGCUGGUAGAAUCAUUGAUUCCAAUGCUAACUUUAAGAAGCUCAGUGUCAGUGAGUCCCAUGAAUUGAUCAUCUACGACUUUUAAAGGCAGUUUUGGUUUUGCCUUUUUUUCUCCAAUGAGUUAAAAACUCAGUCAAAGUUGAAAAUAAAACAAUUGAUGGCUUUGAGGGACAAUGAUUUCCUCUGUUUUUGCUCUAAUGGGAUUGACAUAUUGGGUAACUUCAGCUCAGGUAUACCACCACGAAGCUUUCAGAUUUUUGUAAAUAUCAAGAAAACUGAAAGGUACCAAAGCCUAAUAUUGGACAAAUGUUAGACCAAAGCCUAAUAUUGGUCUAAACCUGAGUAUCAAACUCCAAUUAUCCCAUUGAUAAAAGGGAGAACUGUAGUGAAAAGAUGGAGCAGUUAUUUGGCAAGAUGCUUCAACCAUUCUGGUGGGUACGACUAUAAAAGGAGCUAGACAAGAAGCUGAUGGAGCAUGAGGUAAUGGGAUGGUGUUUUAUUGAUCAAAUGUUUAAGUUUAAUAAAUUAUUAAAUGAGCACAGAGAAGCAUCUAAGUUUUGGUCCUACUACUGUCUCCUUGCUCUUUGGUAAGACUACUUUAAUUUUGUACAAACAAUGAUUGUGUUGAAGUGAUGCAACUUAGUUGGAGAUUGCGAAGUACAGGGAGAAUGAGAGAAUAAGACUAAUUUGUAUUAUCUUCAUUUCAUUUAUAUUAGAGCCAAUACUGAUCCAAAAUUCCAAAUCCAUUUUACAGGUAUGUUUCUAAGGCACUUUUGUGUUUAUUUUUGCCUAUUUGUAUAUAUGCAGUUAGAUUUUUAGGUUGCUCGUGAAUCAUUUUGUAGUUAGUUCUCUCAUUGUAAAAAAGAUCUCUGGUAUGUUGAUUAGUGGGAGUCAGAUUGUGCACUUAAGCACAAAUAAGCACAUCUUAGUCUAAAAAAUACGGGGAAUCUUAGUACGAGAUUAGUUUAUUUUGUAAGCUUAAUAUAGUUUUGUGCAUGUUGGAAUUUUCUGUACCUAGUUCUACUAUAUUUCUUGUUGCGGGAAAUUGUGCGUAUGAAUGUAUGCGAGUGUACUAUGUAAUCACGUAAAUGAUUAGCUGCUUGUCAGAAAUUUGUGUAUUAAAUGUGGACUUCCUAAACAGGCUCCAAGUCUUCAUUGAUGUCUUACCUACAUCGAGUAUUCUUGUUCUGCCCGGCAUGAGAUGUUAUAGACUCAGACAUCCGAGGAGAGGACUGUUAUGGCUAAAGCUCCAGAAAUCAACCCAUUGAGAGUAACCAACACAAAAGUGUGCGCAACCUGCUCACUCAGUCACUCUCCGACGUGCAAUCCUCAAUUUCAGAGAUGAUAGUUACAUUAUGGUCCACCAUUAGUCUCUUAUUACCAACUAAGACCAAUUUAUCAUCCACAUUCCCGCUGACUCAUAUCUUGGGUGUACAUCAAAGUCCUCCAAUUUUGCCGUGUGUUUCAGGUUAGAUGCAUACAUCUGGUGCAGCUUUUUAGCAUGGUGUACAACAGCCUUAGCUAUUGGAUGCUCACUGGUUGCUUGCCUAGAAUAAAAUUUCUCAACUUCAUUAUGUUAAUAAACAACACUGCCAAGCUACUUGGGGGAUAA